Molecule: non-coding RNA, 164 nt
Filed under: Mariprofundus sp.
Lineage: Bacteria; Pseudomonadati; Pseudomonadota; Candidatius Mariprofundia; Mariprofundales; Mariprofundaceae
Description: 6S RNA
Rfam family: 6S / SsrS RNA
About the family: E. coli 6S RNA was the first non coding RNA to be sequenced, but its function was unknown until recently.
Source: RNAcentral
GUUUCACUGGCGGUGUGGCUUAUAAGUCUGAGCCGAUACCAUCUGAACGGGAGUUUAGCUAUUUUGGUUGUGUGAAUCCCUUUGUGGGAUACCUGAUAUCAAGAUGCGGCGCCCACCUUGUUGUAAAGGGUUCAGUGUUUAUAGGCCACAACGCCAGUGAAAUA